Molecule: transfer RNA, 84 nt
Filed under: Termitomyces sp. T159_Od127
Lineage: Eukaryota; Fungi; Basidiomycota; Agaricomycetes; Agaricales; Lyophyllaceae
Description: tRNA-Asp
Source: RNAcentral
UCUUCGCUAGUAUAUCGGUUAGUACACGCGCCUGUCAUACUCGAUUGAACGCGCGAAAGCUGGGUUCGACUCCCAGGCGAAGAG